Molecule: non-coding RNA, 768 nt
Organism: Delphinapterus leucas (beluga whale)
Lineage: Eukaryota; Metazoa; Chordata; Mammalia; Artiodactyla; Monodontidae
Source: RefSeq, a predicted model, not a curated record
GGGGGAGGCAAAGAAAGCAGGUGGGGUGACGCGGAGUCCCCAAGACUGGAUACGCUGAGAAGGGCGUCGGGACAGGAAGGCAAGCCCUACUGAGACUUCAGAAAGACUUAAACCCUGCAGCAGUUGCUUCCUGUUGCUCCGCUCUAUAGUCUCCUACAGAAGAUCCACGCGUCCAGGUCUCGACACUCAUUGGUUGUCCAGUGCCCUGAAGGUUUUCUAACUAGACUGAGCCCUGAAACAUCCUGGGUAUUCCUCCUGGCUCCUCACUCCGCCACUUCCUGGCUGUGCGCGCGUCUGUGGAAGGGCGCCCUCUCUGUCCAGCCCUGGAAAUAACCAGGUGCCUCACUUCCUAGGCUACCUAUAGUUUUGGCUUAACAAACUUCAUCUCUAAUCUGAUGCCUUCAAGUGACCCCCCCCCCCCAUGAAUGGCGACCGAAGCUGGACUACCUGCACCAGAUGGUGAUCUACCAUUGGAUCAUGAGACUUGGAGCCUAAAGAUCAGGGCCUGCUUCCUCAAAAUAAGAAAUUUCCCUGCAAGUUGGAAAGCUCUCAUCUUCUAAGAAAGCAAGGUUAUUAUGCCAAGAAGUCUGAUAUUGAAUAACUUCAAUAUUCUAAAUAAAUUCAACACUUUCCUCUUAGUCUAUUGGUGCAUUGUCUGCUAUGUUAUCCACCAGCCACAUGUGAGUAGUGAGCACUUGAACUGUGUCUAGUCCAAAUUGACAUGUGCUGUAAGUAUAAAAUGCAUUCUGGGGCUUCCCUGGUGGCGCA